GACGAACGCUGGCGGCGUGCCUAAUACAUGCAAGUGGGACGCAAGGGAACACACUGUGCUUGCACACCGUGUUUUCUUGAGUCGCGAACGGGUGAGUAACGCGUAGGUAACCUGCCUAUUAGCGGGGGAUAACUAUUGGAAACGAUAGCUAAUACCGCAUAAUAUUAAUUAUUGCAUGAUAAUUGAUUGAAAGAUGCAAGCGCAUCACUAGUAGAUGGACCUGCGUUGUAUUAGCUAGUUGGUAAGGUAAGAGCUUACCAAGGCGACGAUACAUAGCCGACCUGAGAGGGUGAUCGGCCACACUGGGACUGAGACACGGCCCAGACUCCUACGGGAGGCAGCAGUAGGGAAUCUUCGGCAUUGGACGAAAGUCUGACCGAGCAACGCCGCGUGAGUGAAGAAGGUUUUCGGAUCGUAAAGCUCUGUUGUAAGUCAAGAACGUGUGUGAGAGUGGAAAGUUCACACAG
This 467-nucleotide ribosomal RNA is filed under the name Streptococcus mutans. Its description in RNAcentral is "bacterial SSU rRNA". It matches the Rfam family "Bacterial small subunit ribosomal RNA", at positions 28 to 471 of the family's 1533-position model. Lineage: Bacteria; Bacillati; Bacillota; Bacilli; Lactobacillales; Streptococcaceae. The record is from RNAcentral.